This 2402-nucleotide long non-coding RNA is filed under the name Homo sapiens (human). RNAcentral's name for it is "HSALNT0407255". The record is from RNAcentral. Lineage: Eukaryota; Metazoa; Chordata; Mammalia; Primates; Hominidae.
CAUACUCUAAAUAUUUCCCUGGACUUGCACAUACAUUUCUAUAAGUAGUCAUUAUUACUAUCCUCUGUUUACAGAUGAGAAGUCUGAGGCUAUAGGACUCAGCCAAGGUCAUCCAGCUAAGAGGACCAGUAGGAUUGGAAUAGCUGAUAUUCUCAUCCUUCAGGCUAAUCAAACUAAAAAAAGAAAAGGAGACAAAAUUAACAUAGAGAGUUUAUUUGGGCAAAGAUUGAGGAUUGCAGCCCAGGACACACUUCCAAGUUGCCUUGGGGAAUGCUCCAUUUGGGCCUUUUUGUUACAAGAUUUUUAAAGGCAAAAGGGGACAAAGAGUUUUCUGAUACAAAGUUGUUUGACAGGAAUUCUCACUGGUUUACCGGAACAAGAUUGGUUAGAGGUUGGUUAUGCAUUGCUAAACUAUGGCUAUGAAUUAUGGUGUCUAGCAUAUGGCAUUUCAUAGCUACUUGGCUUCAGUUAGUCUAGAGCCCAUAUAGCAAGUGCCCUCAAGAUGUAAUUAUUUAGCUCAAGUGGGAGUGAGAUUUCACUGCUGUUGCAUUUUAACACCUCUCUGGGCCUGAUAAUUGAAGAGGGCUUGCAUUCGUCAGACAAAAAGUUUCUUUUCCUUCUCAAGGUCAUCCUGCACUUAAGAUGGGAUCCCAAGUUCCAAUUCUUCCAGGAGAAAAAAAGACUAGGAGGAUGGAAUGCAUUGAAAGACUAAUAGGGAGGUGAAUACAGAGAAGCAGAGGAAGGCAACAAUUAACAAUGGAGAAAUGAAGAGAUAGAGUGAAGCAUGAACCGGUAAAAUGGAGCUCAGAAUCCUGGAGCUAGUUCUGCCAAUAUUGAUUGUCCUCCCAGGUACCUAUUUUAUAAACAGAUGUGUUGUACAAACUCAAGGUUGUCUUCACAGAACACUUUUGAUGGAUACGUUGUGUCAGUGGCUUCCCAUUGAACAUAAAAUAAAAACCAAACUUCUUAUCUUAGCCUCAAAGGCCAAUAUGGACUGAUCCCUGCUGAACUUUUCAGAUGUGUCUUGUGCUCCUCUCUCUCUUGCUCACCAUACUGUAGCUAUACUCUCUUCUUCCAGUCCCAUGAAGAAGACAAGCCCUCUUUCAUCUCAGGGCCAACCUAUGUACUAUUCCCUCUAGCUGAAAUAUUCUUCCCCUCCAUUAUUCACUUAAUUAUGUGGAAAUCAGAAAUUAAAUACCUUGAUUUCUUUUACUGGCCUUAAAGAAAUGUAAUUUUUACAAUUAUAUUUAAUGAAAAGCCUUGAGGGGAGACAAUCUUAUUAGCAUAAGCACUUUGAGAAUUAAUUCAAAGUGUCAUGCUGGUUGUUAACUUCUCAGCAAGACAACGAAGAGAGUUUCAGAGAACUCAGAAUUUAUCGUUCAGUGACUAUGUAAAACGACAUUGUCAGAAAAAGAGCCAAUUGCAGUGAAAGGUUUUAAAGGUAAGGAUAUGUGAUCUGUCCCUUGUUAAUGGGAUAAGUCUUUCAGAGAGAUGUUCCAUGACAUGGUUAGUAAAUACAAAAUAUCUAGUGUAACCACUCUUGCUCAUAAAACACGUUUGUUAUAGGAAUCCCUCUAGUCAUUCACUUAAGUGAUCAAAUGUAUUUGUAAUAAGAAAUAGAAAGGGGUUAAUUAAGAUAUAAAUAAACUUCUCAGCCCUACAGCUGAAGCACUGGCAUCACCUCAGACAAAUCUGAUCCAAAUCCAAUGAAAAGCCUGUUUUUCCCAAUUAUUCUCAUCAGUCAGGACUCAGUUUAAGGUCACCUUCUUUGAGAGGCUUGCUCUGGGAACUAUAUUUAAAGCAGUACUACUUGAAAUUUGGAAAAUCAUUUGGUAAAAAUACAGAGGCCCAGGCUUUCCUUACUUUGAUUAAGCCAGGACAAUUGUAUUCUUUAUUAGCUCUCCAGUUAAUUCUGACACCCAUAAAAGUUUGAGAACUACCAAUCCAAAUGUUUAUCCUUCCUUUCAUCCCUUUAUUUUCUAUUAUAGCAUCCAAUUUGUUUCCCACACAGCUCUUAUCACAAUAUCUAUUUACAUGUGGUUGUCAGUCUCCCCUACUAAACUAUAAGCACCAUGAGGGCAGUGAUCAUGUCUUUCUUGUCAAUUACUGUAUCCCCAGAACUUAACACAAUGCUUGGCACACACUUGGGGCUCUAAAAAUAGACAGCUUUGUAUGCAUAGAAUUUUUUUUAAAAACUUCAAUGUAAAUUGUAUUCAUAGUACAGUCAAGACUUGUUUUAUAAUAGUAAAUCAUAAACUUUUUAUUUUCUACCAGAAUCUUUUUGAGGGAAUGCUAAUAAAUAUUACAGAUAAAACCAGAAUGAGAGCUGGGCCUGGUGGCUCACGCUUGUAAUCCCAGCACUUUGGGAGACUGAAGCAGGUGGAUCACCUGAGGUCAGGAGU